AUUGAACGCUGGCGGCAGGCCUAACACAUGCAAGUCGAACGGUAACAGGAAACAGCUUGCUGUUUCGCUGACGAGUGGCGGACGGGUGAGUAAUGUCUGGGAAACUGCCUGAUGGAGGGGGAUAACUACUGGAAACGGUAGCUAAUACCGCAUAACGUCGCAAGACCAAAGAGGGGGACCUUCGGGCCUCUUGCCAUCGGAUGUGCCCAGAUGGGAUUAGCUAGUAGGUGGGGUAACGGCUCACCUAGGCGACGAUCCCUAGCUGGUCUGAGAGGAUGACCAGCCACACUGGAACUGAGACACGGUCCAGACUCCUACGGGAGGCAGCAGUGGGGAAUAUUGCACAAUGGGCGCAAGCCUGAUGCAGCCAUGCCGCGUGUAUGAAGAAGGCCUUCGGGUUGUAAAGUACUUUCAGCGGGGAGGAAGGGGGUAAAGUUAAUACCUUUACUCAUUGACGUUACCCGCAGAAGAAGCACCGGCUAACUCCGUG
RNAcentral lists this ribosomal RNA (490 nucleotides) under uncultured bacterium. RNAcentral describes it as "partial 16S ribosomal RNA". It matches the Rfam family "Bacterial small subunit ribosomal RNA", at positions 30 to 507 of the family's 1533-position model. The record is from RNAcentral.